CCCUUAGAUGUUCUGGGCCGCACGCGCGCUACACUGAUGCAUUCAACGAGUUUUACCUUGGCCGAGAGGCCUGGGCAAUCUUUUAAACCUGCAUCGUGAUAGGGAUAGAUUAUUGCAAUUAUUAAUCUUGAACGAGGAAUUCCUAGUAAGUCCCAGUCAACAGCUGGUACUGAUUACGUCCCUGCCCUUUGUACACACCGCCCGUCGCUACUACUGAUUGGACGUUUAAGCAAGAUUUUUAAACACUGACAGUGUGUAGUUCACGCUAUACUACAGUGAGAAGAAGAAGAUCGAGCUUACUUGUCUAGAGGAAGUAAAAGUCGUAACA
This 328-nucleotide ribosomal RNA is filed under the name uncultured eukaryote. RNAcentral describes it as "partial 18S ribosomal RNA". It matches the Rfam family "Eukaryotic small subunit ribosomal RNA", at positions 1470 to 1796 of the family's 1831-position model. The record is from RNAcentral.